RNAcentral lists this microRNA (23 nucleotides) under Ornithorhynchus anatinus (platypus). RNAcentral's name for it is "Oan-Novel-5_3p* (star (passenger))". The record is from RNAcentral. Lineage: Eukaryota; Metazoa; Chordata; Mammalia; Monotremata; Ornithorhynchidae.
UGGGUUCCGAUCCCGGCUCGGCC